GACGAACGCUGGCGGCGUGCUUAACACAUGCAAGUCGAACGGUGAAGCGCCUUCCUUUUUGGUGGGUGUGGAUGAGUGGCGAACGGGUGAGUAACACGUGAGUAACCUGCCCCCUUCUUCUGGAUAACCGCAUGAAAGUGUGGCUAAUACGGGAUAUUCUGGGUCUGUCGCAUGAUGGGUCUGGGAAAGAUAUUGUUUCGGUGGGGGAUGGGCUCGCGGCCUAUCAGCUUGUUGGUGGGGUGAUGGCCUACCAAGGCGGUGACGGGUAGCCGGCCUGAGAGGGUGGACGGUCACACUGGGACUGAGACACGGCCCAGACUCAUACGGGAGACAGCAGUGGGGAAUAUAGCACAAGGGGCGCAAGCCUGAUGCAGCGACGCCGCGUGAGGGAUGGAGGCCUUCGGGUUGUGAACCUCUUUCGCCAGUGAAGCAGGCCUGCCUCGUUUGUGGGUGGGUUGACGGUAGCUGGAGAAGAAGCGCCGGCUAACUACGUG
Molecule: ribosomal RNA, 494 nt
Filed under: uncultured bacterium
Lineage: Bacteria
Description: partial 16S ribosomal RNA
Rfam family: Bacterial small subunit ribosomal RNA
Source: RNAcentral